GACGAACGCUGGCGGCGUGCUUAACACAUGCAAGUCGAACGGAAAGGCCCUGCUUGCAGGGUACUCGAGUGGCGAACGGGUGAGUAACACGUGGGUGAUCUGCCCUGCACUUCGGGAUAAGCCUGGGAAACUGGGUCUAAUACCGGAUAGGAGCCAUUUUUAGUGUGAUGGUUGGAAAGUUUUUUUCGGUGUAGGAUGAGCUCGCGGCCUAUCAGCUUGUUGGUGGGGUAAUGGCCUACCAAGGCGGCGACGGGUAGCCGGCCUGAGAGGGUGGACGGCCACAUUGGGACUGAGAUACGGCCCAGACUCCUACGGGAGGCAGCAGUGGGGAAUAUUGCACAAUGGGCGCAAGCCUGAUGCAGCGACGCCGCGUGGGGGAUGACGGCCUUCGGGCUGUAAACUCCUUUCGCUAGGGACGAAGCUUUUUGUGACGGUACCUAGAUAAGAAGCACCGGCUAACUACGUG
This 466-nucleotide ribosomal RNA is filed under the name uncultured bacterium. RNAcentral's name for it is "partial 16S ribosomal RNA". It matches the Rfam family "Bacterial small subunit ribosomal RNA", at positions 28 to 507 of the family's 1533-position model. The record is from RNAcentral.